This 497-nucleotide ribosomal RNA is filed under the name uncultured bacterium. RNAcentral describes it as "partial 16S ribosomal RNA". It matches the Rfam family "Bacterial small subunit ribosomal RNA", at positions 28 to 507 of the family's 1533-position model. The record is from RNAcentral.
GACGAACGCUGGCGGCGUGCCUAAUACAUGCCAGUUGAGCGAUGAAGAUUGGUGCUUGCACCAAUUUGAAGAGCAGCGAACGGGUGAGUAACGCGUGGGGAAUCUGCCUUUGAGCGGGGGACAACAUUUGGAAACGAAUGCUAAUACCGCAUAACAACUUUAAACAUAAGCUUUAAGUUUGAAAGAUGCAAUUGCAUCACUCAAAGAUGAUCCCGCGUUGUAUUAGCUAGUUGGUGAGGUAAAGGCUCACCAAGGCGAUGAUACAUAGCCGACCUGAGAGGGUGAUCGGCCAAAUUGGGACUGGGAAACGGCCCAAACUCCUACGGGAGGCAGCAGGAGGGAAUCUUCGGCAAUGGACGAAAGUCUGACCGAGCAACGCCGCGUGAGUGAAGAAGGGUUUCGGAUCGGAAAACUCUGUUGGUAGAGAAGAACGUUGGUGAGAGUGGAAAGCUCAUCAAGUGACGGUAACUACCCAGAAAGGGACGGCUAACUACGUG